UGCUCGAGUGGCGAACGGGUGAGUAACACGUGAGUAACCUGCCCUUGACUUUGGGAUAACUUCAGGAAACUGGGGCUAAUACCGGAUAGGAGCUCCUGCUGCAUGGUGGGGGUUGGAAAGUUUCGGCGGUUGGGGAUGGACUCGCGGCUUAUCAGCUUGUUGGUGGGGUAGUGGCUUACCAAGGCUUUGACGGGUAGCCGGCCUGAGAGGGUGACCGGCCACAUUGGGGCUGAGAUACGGCUCAG
Molecule: ribosomal RNA, 245 nt
Filed under: uncultured Actinomycetales bacterium
Lineage: Bacteria; Bacillati; Actinomycetota; Actinomycetes; Actinomycetales
Description: partial 16S ribosomal RNA
Rfam family: Bacterial small subunit ribosomal RNA
Source: RNAcentral